UACGUAGGGUGCAAGCGUUGUCCGGAAUUAUUGGGCGUAAAGAGCUCGUAGGCGGUUUGUCGCGUCUGCUGUGAAAACUGGGGGCUCAACCCCCAGCCUGCAGUGGGUACGGGCAAACUAGAGUUCGGUAGGGGAGACUGGAAUUCCUGGUGUAGCGGUGAAAUGCGCAGAUAUCAGGAGGAACACCGGUGGCGAAGGCGGGUCUCUGGGCCGAUACUGACGCUGAGGAGCGAAAGCGUGGGGAGCGAACAGG
This 253-nucleotide ribosomal RNA is filed under the name uncultured bacterium. RNAcentral describes it as "partial 16S ribosomal RNA". It matches the Rfam family "Bacterial small subunit ribosomal RNA", at positions 524 to 776 of the family's 1533-position model. The record is from RNAcentral.